AAGCGAAUAAGGGCAAAUGGAGGAUGCCUGGGCAGCGCGUGCCGAAGAAGGACGUGGUACACUGCGAAAAGCGUCGGUGAGGGGUGUGCACCCGCAUGAGCCGACGAUGUCCGAAUGGGGAAACCCGCGUUGGGGCAUGCCAACGCAUUGCCUGCUGAAUCCAUAGGCAGGUGAGGGGCACCCGGGGAACUGAAACAUCUUAGUACCCGGAGGAAAAGAAAGGAUUCUGCGAGUAGUGGCGAGCGAAAGCGGAAGAGCCCAAACCGGAGCAAUCCGGGGUUGAAGGCCGUGCGAACGGGACUGGGAAGGUUAAUUGAAGCGGUCUGGAAAGCCGCGCCGCAGACGGUGAAAGCCCGGUAGAUGAAAACCCAAGCAGCCUAGCACUGAGCCUGAGUACGACGGAGCACGCUAAUUCCGUCGGAAGCAGGGGAGUCCACUCUCCAAGGCUAAAUACCCGCGCUGACCGAUAGUGAACAAGUACAGUGAUGGAACGGUGAAAAGAACCCCGGUGAGGGGAGUGAAAGAGAACCUGAAACCGUUUGCCUACAAGCAGUCAGAGCACUAUAAGUGUGAUGGCGUGCCUUUUGGAGAAUGAGCCACCGAGUUCAUCCAUGUCGCAAGCUUAAGGGAGAUUCACCCGGAGGCGAAGCGAAAGCGAGUUUGAAAGGGCGCUAAGUGGCAUGGAUGAGACACGAAACCAGGUGAGCUACCCAUGGGCAGCGUGAAGCGGAGUUAACCCUUCGUGGAGGCGCGAACCAGUAACUAUUGCAAAAGUUUUGGAUGACCUGUGGGUAGGGGUGAAAUGUCAAACGAACUUGGAGAUAGCUUGUUCUCCCCGAAAUAGCUUUAGGGCUAGCGUCGUGGCAGGACUGGGGGAGGUAGAGCACUGAUUGAGCUAGGGGCCGCAAGGUUACCAAACUCAUUCAAACUCCAAAUGCCUCCAGUUAACGCGCGGCAGUUGGACGGCGGGAGAUGAGUUUCGUCGUCGAAAGGGAAAGAACCCAGCCCCCCAGUUAAGGUCCCCAAGACCGUGCUAAGUGGCAAACGAGGUGGGUGUGUGUAGACAGCCAGGAGGUUGGCUUAGAAGCAGCCACCCUUUAAAGAGUGCGUAAUAGCUCACUGGUCAAACGCAUCUGCGCGGAUAAUGUAACGGGGCUCAAGCACGGCACCGAAACUAGGGAUACAGCAAUGUAUAGUAGGGGAGCGUCGUGAGCGCGUUGAAGGCCGACCGGAAGGCGGGAUGGAGUGCUCACGAGUGAGAAUGGUGGCAUGAGUAGCGAGAAACGUGUGAGAACCACGUUCGUCGAACGUCUAAGGGUUCCGACGGAAGGUCAGUCCGCGUCGGGUUAGUCGGGCCUUAGCCGAGGCUGAGAAGCGUAGGUGAUGGACAACGGGUGAAUAGUCCCGUACCGGCAGGUGGAGUAUGUGAGGGACGGGUGAGGAUAACGCAGCCUCCGGUUGGAAGAGGAGGUGGCAAGCGGUGAGAGCCGUGAUGCCGGUGCCUACGGGCCGCAAGUGCGCGAGUCCCUGCCUCAAGAAAAGCUCAACAGCGAAGAAACCUGCCGCCCGUACCGCAAACCGACACAGGUAGACGGGUAGAAGAUACCAAGGCGAACGAGCGACACCUUGUUAAGGAAUUAGGCAAAAUAGCCCCGUAACUUCGGGAGAAGGGGCGCCACAGUGAUGUGGCCGCAGUGAAAGGGUUCUGGCGACUGUUUAACAAAAACACAGGUCUCUGCGAAGGUGCAAACCGACGUAUAGGGGCUGACACCUGCCCAGUGCCGGAAGGUUAAGAGGAGAGGUUAGUGCGUAAGCGCGAAGCUUUGAAUUGAAGCCCCGGUGAACGGCGGCGGUAACUAUAACCGUCCUAAGGUAGCGAAAUUCCUUGUCGGGUAAGUUCCGACCCGCACGAAUGGUGUAACGAUCAGAACACUGUCUCAACAAGGUCCUCGGCGAAAUUGAAGGGCGCGUGAAGAUACGCGCAACCCGCAGCUGGACAAAAAGACCCCGUGGAGCUUGACUGUAGCUUGCUAUUGCGUUAGGGCGAGAUUUGUGUAGGAUAGCUGGGAGGCAGAGAACCUAGGGCGCCAGCCUUGGGGGAGCCGCCGGUGAAAUACCAGCCUGAUUUCGCUUUGGCCCUAACCUGUUGCCCUGAAGCGGGCAUGGGGACAGUGGCAGGUGGGCAGUUUGACUGGGGCGGUCGCCUCCUAAAAGGUAGCGGAGGCGCCCAAAGGUUGGCUCAGGUGGAAUGGAAACCCACCAAGGCGUGUAAUGGCACAAGCCAGCUUGACUGCGAGGCCUACAAGCCGAGCAGAGACGAAAGUCGGGCAUAGUGAUCCCACGGUACUGAGUGGAAGGGCCGUGGCUUACCGGAUAAAAGCUACCCCGGGGAUAACAGGCUAGUCUAGUCCAAGAGUUCACAUCGACGACUAGGCUCGGCACCUCGAUGUCGGCUCGUCGCAUCCUGGGGCUGGAUCAGGUCCCAAGGGUUGGGCUGUUCGCCCAUUAAAGCGGUACGUGAGCUGGGUUCAGACCGUCGUGAGACAGGUCGGUCUCUAUCCACUGUGGGCGUAAGAAGGUUGAGGGGAGCUGCCCCUAGUACGAGAGGACCGGGGUGGACGCAGCGAUGGUGUGCCGGUUGUCGCGCCAGCGGCAGCGCCGGGUAGCUAACUGCGGAGGUGAGAACCGCUGAAAGCAUCUAAGUGGGAAACGCACCUCAAGAUGAGCCUUCUGAUCUGGAAAACAGAGUAAGACCGCUGGGAGACGACCAGUUGGAUAGGGCGGCGGUGGAAGUGGGGUAACCCACGUAGCCAACCGCUACUAAAGGUCGAGGGCUUCA
Molecule: ribosomal RNA, 2839 nt
Filed under: Anaerolineales bacterium
Lineage: Bacteria; Bacillati; Chloroflexota; Anaerolineae; Anaerolineales
Description: 23S ribosomal RNA
Rfam family: Bacterial large subunit ribosomal RNA
Source: RNAcentral